GACGAACGCUGGCGGCGUGCUUAACACAUGCAAGUCGAACGGAAAGGCCCUGCUUUUGUGGGGUGCUCGAGAGGCGAACGGGUGAGUAACACGUGAGUAACCUGCCCUUGACUUUGGUAUAACUUCGGGAAACUGGGGCUAAUACCGGAUAGGAGCUCCUGCUGCAUGGUGGGGGUUGGAAAGUUUCGGCGGUUGGGGAUGGACUCGCGGCUUAUCAGCUUGUUGGUGGGGUAGUGGCUUACCAAGGCUUUGACGGGUAGCCGGCCUGAGAGGGUGACCGGCCACAUGGGGACUGGGAUACGGCCCGGACUCCGACGGGAGGAAGCAGUGGGGAAUAUUGCACAAUGGGCGGAAGCCUGAGGCAGCAACGCCGCGUGCGGGAUGACGGCCUUCGGGUUGUAAACCGCUUUCGCCUGUGACGAAGCGUGAGUGACGGUAAUGGGUAAAGAAGCACCGGCUAACUACGUG
Molecule: ribosomal RNA, 468 nt
Filed under: uncultured bacterium
Lineage: Bacteria
Description: partial 16S ribosomal RNA
Rfam family: Bacterial small subunit ribosomal RNA
Source: RNAcentral